Molecule: ribosomal RNA, 323 nt
Filed under: Escherichia sp. E4702
Lineage: Bacteria; Pseudomonadati; Pseudomonadota; Gammaproteobacteria; Enterobacterales; Enterobacteriaceae
Description: partial 23S ribosomal RNA
Rfam family: Bacterial large subunit ribosomal RNA
Source: RNAcentral
CGUGAGACAGUUCGGUCCCUAUCUGCCGUGGGCGCUGGAGAACUGAGGGGGGCUGCUCCUAGUACGAGAGGACCGGAGUGGACGCAUCACUGGUGUUCGGGUUGUCAUGCCAAUGGCACUGCCCGGUAGCUAAAUGCGGAAGAGAUAAGUGCUGAAAGCAUCUAAGCACGAAACUUGCCCCGAGAUGAGUUCUCCCUGACCCUUUAAGGGUCCUGAAGGAACGUUGAAGACGACGACGUUGAUAGGCCGGGUGUGUAAGCGCAGCGAUGCGUUGAGCUAACCGGUACUAAUGAACCGUGAGGCUUAACCUUACAACGCCGAAG